AGUGAACGCUGGCGGUAGGCCUAACACAUGCAAGUCGAACGGCAGCACACUACGAGCUUGCUCUUACCGGUGGCGAGUCGCGUACGGAUGAGGAAUACAUCCGAAUCUACUUUUUCGUGGGGGUUAAGGUAGGGAAACUUACGCUCAUACCGCAUACGACCUUCGGUUGUGAGCGGUGGAUAUUCGGACCUUGCGCGAUUGAAUGAGCCGAUGUCGGAUUAGCUGGUUGGCGGGGUAAUGGCCCACCAAGGCGACGAUCCGUAGCUGGUCUGAGAGGAUGAUCAGCCACACUGGAACUGGAACGCGGUCCAGACUCCUAAGGGAGGCAGCAGUGGGGAAUAUUAGACAGUGGGCGCAAGCAUGGUACAGCCAGACCGCGUGGGUGAAAAAAGCCUUCGGGUUGUGAAGCCGGUUUGUUGGGAAAGAAAAGCAGCAGGUUAAUACCCCGCUGUUCUGACGGUACCCAAAGAAUAAGCACCGGCUAACUACGUG
RNAcentral lists this ribosomal RNA (492 nucleotides) under uncultured bacterium. RNAcentral describes it as "partial 16S ribosomal RNA". It matches the Rfam family "Bacterial small subunit ribosomal RNA", at positions 29 to 507 of the family's 1533-position model. The record is from RNAcentral.